UACGUAGGGGGCAAGCGUUGUCCGGAUUUAUUGGGCGUAAAGAGCGUGUAGGCGGCCAAGCAGGUCAGCUGUGAAAACUCGAGGCUCAACCUCGAGACGUCGGUUGAAACCGCUUGGCUAGAGUCCGGAAGAGGAGAGUGGAAUUCCCGGUGUAGCGGUGAAAUGCGCAGAUAUCGGGAAGAACACCCGUGGCGAAGGCGGCUCUCUGGGACGGUACUGACGCUGAGACGCGAAAGCUAGGGGAGCGAACGGG
This 253-nucleotide ribosomal RNA is filed under the name uncultured bacterium. RNAcentral describes it as "partial 16S ribosomal RNA". It matches the Rfam family "Bacterial small subunit ribosomal RNA", at positions 524 to 776 of the family's 1533-position model. The record is from RNAcentral.